Molecule: small RNA, 119 nt
Filed under: unclassified sequences
Description: LOOT RNA
Rfam family: LOOT RNA
About the family: Latescibacteria, OD1/Parcubacteria, OP11, TM7. Lineage (Microgenomates, aka OP11)
Source: Rfam by way of RNAcentral
UGCCUAAACCUUUAGAGAUAAAGGCAUGGCGAGAAGGCCGUUCAAGAUAAAAAACCCAUCAUGUAGAAUUUGUCUUGAACGGCCGUAUCGGGAAACUGGUACGGAGGGCUUUGGUCCUC